This is a long non-coding RNA of Panthera uncia (snow leopard), 914 nucleotides long. RefSeq lists it as uncharacterized. The record is from RefSeq and is a predicted model, not a curated record. The transcript has 3 exons. NCBI's taxonomy places the organism in Eukaryota, Metazoa, Chordata, Mammalia, Carnivora, Felidae.
AUCAUGUUAAGCCAAUGAGAAGGAAAAACCAGCAUAAUCAAAAUUCCCUUGCCGUUACCCGUAUGGCUUCUGUCAUCUCGCUUCCCUCCUAGGCCAGCCAGCCGCCAGGAGGCAGAGCUGGAUUAGUCCCGCCCACCUGACCCGGAAGCUGAGCCUUUGGAGGUGACCGCCAAGGCUCCCUUUUGCCCCCAGCGAAGUGUCAUCAUCGAGGCAGCCGAGCCCCUGGGGGGAGGGCACUCUGCCCGUGUCAAGGACGUGCCAACGGGCUGGAGGCAGCCCUGGGGCUCCAGCGGAAAAGGGAGUUGACAUUCCAAGUGGGGAAGACAGUAGAUCGACAAAGUCAGGAGCUCACGGUUCCUGAGAUCGAGCCCCCCCCCUCCCGACCCCCCGCGGGGGAUUCUCUUCCUCUCUCUGUGCCCCUCACGCGUGUUUGUGUGAGUAUGCUUUUUCUCAAAAUAAACUUCAGUACUCGAUCUCAAGUAGCUAUCUCUCAGUGGGCUGUGGGGUUAUGAGGAAAUGCGACCUCAUCUACCUUUCUUUCCGCCUUUGUUUCCCAUAUCCUUGGUUAUCUGGGGGCAGGGAUGCAAACAGCGGCGGGGGGACAGCACGUGCAAAGGCCCUGAGGUAGGAGCCUGAAGCGUUCCACAUCCGGAAAGGAGCCGCGAAGCUGAAGAGCGGGGCUCACUCUUCGGCGAGAAGACUGAGGCCCAGACACGGCCUUGUAGCGACUUGUCCGAAAGUUGGCUUUCUCUUUCUCAUCUGGGAGAUGUCUCCCUGGUGCGCUGGGGCUGGCUCGUAACCAUCUGGGAGAGCUGAUUGCCAAACUUUCGGGAAUUUUGCAAGCCUGUCGUUAAACUUGGCCAGUUGCCGGAAAUGAAAUGAUGUGCACUCGCGAUGAAAUAAAUUACAUUAAA